AGAAGAAGAUUCCAUGGGAAGGAGAGUUCACCCUUAGAAACGAUCCGUGAGCUGGGUUAAUAGCGUCCUGCGGCAGUU
RNAcentral lists this ribosomal RNA (78 nucleotides) under Lingulaulax polyedra. Its description in RNAcentral is "Lingulodinium polyedra partial Bacterial large subunit ribosomal RNA". Lineage: Eukaryota; Dinophyceae; Gonyaulacales; Lingulodiniaceae. The record is from RNAcentral.